This 450-nucleotide ribosomal RNA is filed under the name uncultured bacterium. RNAcentral describes it as "bacterial SSU rRNA". It matches the Rfam family "Bacterial small subunit ribosomal RNA", at positions 352 to 793 of the family's 1533-position model. The record is from RNAcentral.
CAGUGGGGAAUAUUGCACAAUGGGGGAAGCCCUGAUGCAGCCAUGCCGCGUGUGUGAAGAAGGCCUUCGGGUUGUAAAGCACUUUCAGUAGGGAGGAAGGUAGUGUAGUUAACACCUGCACUAUUUGACGUUACCUACAGAAGAAGCACCGGCUAACUCCGUGCCAGCAGCCGCGGUAAUACGGAGGGUGCGAGCGUUAAUCGGAAUUACUGGGCGUAAAGCGCAUGCAGGCGGUCUGUUAAGUCAGAUGUGAAAGCCCGGGGCUUAACCUCGGAAUUGCAUUUGAAACUGGCAGGCUAGAGUCUUGUAGAGGGGGGUAGGAAUUUCAGGUGUAGCGGUGAAAUGCGUAGAGAUCUGAAGGAAUACCAGUGGCGAAGGCGGCCCCCUGGACAAAGACUGACGCUCAGAUGCGAAAGCGUGGGGAGCAAACAGGAUUAGAUACCCUUGGAG